UUUACCUCAGAUUCUUCUCUUCUUCCACAGGCAGGAGUCUGUCUGAUUGCUGGAUCCAACAUAUAGUUAGAAUCAGUGGGAGUUCUGCAUGCAGUUUGAAGAAGGCAACAACUUCAAUGUAUUUUGUGGAGAUCAGUGCAGGACUUGAGCAAUCUACAUAUAACUUCUCAGCCUCAUGACUUGACAAGAAAUUCACCUCAUUUUCUGGAAAUGAUGAGAGGCUGAUUUCAGAAAAGCCUGGAGUUUCAUGAAUUGAUGCUGAGUGAAGUGAGUAGAACCAGGAGAA
Molecule: long non-coding RNA, 286 nt
Organism: Antechinus flavipes (yellow-footed antechinus)
Lineage: Eukaryota; Metazoa; Chordata; Mammalia; Dasyuromorphia; Dasyuridae
Exons: 3
Source: RefSeq, a predicted model, not a curated record